GGACUGACCCCUUCCGUGCCGCAGUUAACACAAUAAGUAUUCCACCUGGGGAGUACGACCGCAAGGUUGAAACUCAAAGGAAUUGACGGGGGCCCGCACAAGCAGUGGAUUAUGUGGUUUAAUUCGACGCAACGCGAAGAACCUUACCAGGAUUUGACAUCCAACUAACGAAGUAGAGAUACAUUAGGUGCCCUUCGGGGAAAGUUGAGACAGGUGGUGCAUGGUUGUCGUCAGCUCGUGUCGUGAGAUGUUGGGUUAAGUCCCGCAACGAGCGCAACCCCUAUUGUUAGUUGCUACGAAAGAGCACUCUACCGAGACUGCCGUUGACAAAACGGAGGAAGGCGGGGACGACGUCAAAUCAUCAUGCCCCUUAUGUCCUGGGCUACACACGUAAUACAAUGGUGGUUAACAGAGGGAAGCAAUACUGCGAAGUGGAGCAAAUCCCUAAAAGCCAUCUCAGUUCGGAUUGCAGGCUGCAACUCGCCUGCAUGAAGCUGGAAUUGCUAGUAAUCGCGGAUCAG
RNAcentral lists this ribosomal RNA (521 nucleotides) under uncultured bacterium. RNAcentral describes it as "bacterial SSU rRNA". It matches the Rfam family "Bacterial small subunit ribosomal RNA", at positions 829 to 1352 of the family's 1533-position model. The record is from RNAcentral.